UACGUAGGGCGCAAGCGUUGUCCGGAAUUAUUGGGCGUAAAGAGCUCGUAGGCGGUCUGUCGCGUCGGCUGUGAAAACCCGUGGCUCAACCCCGGGCCUGCAGUCGAUACGGGCAGACUAGAGUGCGGUAGGGGAGACUGGAAUUCCUGGUGUAGCGGUGAAAUGCGCAGAUAUCAGGAGGAACACCGGUGGCGAAGGCGGGUCUCUGGGCCGUAACUGACGCUGAGGAGCGAAAGCGUGGGGAGCGAACAGG
This 253-nucleotide ribosomal RNA is filed under the name uncultured bacterium. RNAcentral describes it as "partial 16S ribosomal RNA". It matches the Rfam family "Bacterial small subunit ribosomal RNA", at positions 524 to 776 of the family's 1533-position model. The record is from RNAcentral.